UAGGUUCUUCUGAGCAAAAAAAAAAAAAAAAAAACCAGCCGGUUUUUCCUUUCUUCUUGGUGCCAAUUUAGGCGCUCACAGUCUUAUCCCACCAAACUCAAUUUUCCAUCCCAUCAAAUUCUCUCUCUCUCUUUCUCUCUCUCUACGACGCUGAAUUCUUCUCUCUCUAAGAUUGGCAAUUUCACUUUCUCAAACUAUUUUGCUUUAGAAGGGACAAUUCUGCAAGUACGCUCCUUCAUGUCUCAGUAAAAUCUUUUGAAUUGUAGAUCUCUCAUUAUGAAUGAAACUGUCAUGCGAAACGAAAUAUAGGCGCUUAGAGUAAAGGCUCGGAGAAAGAAAUUGUUGUCUCCAAAGGGCAUGGAUGUACGCCCAAUAAUGGAGGUUGUCAAAGGUGUUGCUUUUGGUAUAUUACAGUUGUAGAGUUGCUAUCAGAGGAUGAAAAUUCUCUACCUUUGACUUUGCAACCUCCCAAGUUACCCGGAAGAGAAUUUGGCGAAGCCAAGGGGGAUUCUUUAUUUAGUAAUGCAAUUAAUAUUAUGCUGUUGAAUUUCCAAAGAGAAAGAUUGAAUUUCCAAAGAGAAAGAUUGAAUGCAUUGCUUCAACAAAGUGCGAUUGUCCUUACUGCAGAAUCUGAUAAGGAUUGGGAUGAUCCACUUUUUAGUGUAAUUUGAUGAACAUAUUAUCAACUAGGGAAGUACUUGAACAAGAGGCAUGCUUAGAUGCGUUGAUCUCUAUUAUAUUGGACUCAUCAACCGAUCAAAUGGUGAGUUAUCUGUAAAGUGACAAUUGAAACGUUUUAACCAAUGUUGUUCGAAACGCAAUGUACGUUAGGCUUACCAUAAUUUCUGUCACGGUUUUGCCAAGGAGUAUGGUUUAUGUGCAAAGUAUUGUUGCUGUCUGAGCCAAACAAUUGGAAGGUUUGCUUCACAAAUAUUGAUGUUAUUUAAAUUACAAGGUAGAUUUGUUGGUUGUCGAAUCGAAUUCGGAUGCGGAAGCGUGG
Molecule: RNA transcript, 1000 nt
Organism: Morus notabilis
Lineage: Eukaryota; Viridiplantae; Streptophyta; Magnoliopsida; Rosales; Moraceae
Exons: 7
Source: RefSeq, a predicted model, not a curated record